GCCCAGUCAACAGAAUGGAGAAAAGAGAAAUUUGGUUUGAAAUGAAAUUUGAGUCUUGAGAGAGGGCUGAUAUGGAGAAGGAGAAUCAAACAAGCCACGUGGGAGCAUCUGAAGGCCUGGAGAUGAGGGCCUGUUGCGUAACUGUGAAAAUUUGGCCUUUAAAAUAACUAGGCAUGGGCCAGAAACCAGAGCCAGUGGCUGCAACCACCCAAAUUGCCAAGAUGGUACAGAAAGAAGAAGUGGCAAAGCAACACUUAAACUCAAACCUGCCCAGCUUCAAAGUCCAUGCCCUUCCCCGGGCUUCAGACUGCCAUCUUCGAUGUUAUCUUUCAUUGAGAUGUUGUUUGCAUUAAAUGGGGGAUCUUCUGGCACACGGUGGA
Molecule: non-coding RNA, 380 nt
Organism: Macaca mulatta (Rhesus monkey)
Lineage: Eukaryota; Metazoa; Chordata; Mammalia; Primates; Cercopithecidae
Source: RefSeq, a predicted model, not a curated record